This 223-nucleotide long non-coding RNA is filed under the name Homo sapiens (human). RNAcentral's name for it is "LHRI_LNC374.1". The record is from RNAcentral. Lineage: Eukaryota; Metazoa; Chordata; Mammalia; Primates; Hominidae.
CACAGCUCUGUCCCCAGAUUGCCUGGGUGCAAAUCCCAGUUCUCUCUCUUCCUAACGUGGGACCCGGGGCAAUCGCUCUCCACUGCUGUAAAAUGAGGAUAAAAACUUUGACGGUGAGGAUGCAGCAAGAAAAUGCCUUCCAUGAACCAGAGAGCAGGAUCUUGCCAGACACUAAAUCUACUGGUGCCUUGACCUAGGAUUUCCCAGCCUCCAGCACUGUGAG